GCCUCGCCUCCCUAGCCAAGAGUUGUUAGUGUUUUUAAAAGCAAUAUACAAGCACGCUCCAUGUAUAUAAAAAGUGUAAAUUCAAAUGUUGAUAUAUUGGUAAUUGUAGACCGCUUACUACUAACCCUGAUAAUUUCAUAAAGAUAUACCACAGGCUCUAUACUAAAGUUUUCCUAAAAUAAAGUGGGAUAGAGAAAAAAAAUUGAGAAGAAGCAAAUAUCAAAAAAAUUGCUUGUAAAAGGUAUCUCCGUGAAAGGCGACAUAAAAAACUAAAUUACGAUAAUGACAUCCUCAUGUGAAAUCAGACUCUAUACUUUGACAGCUUGUAGUGUGUAGCCCGUAGCGAUAAUUCUGGUUGUUAUAUACGAAAGCAAAACACUUGAAGAUAUUGACCUAAAGUGAAUGAGCUAUUGAAAAAAUAUCGAAAAUAAAUAAAAACAAUAUACUAGGUUAAUUACUUCAAGCUAUACAUAUCUUGGUAUUAUAUUCGCUUGAAAAUGGUGCAGAAAAUUGUAUACAUAAAUAUGUUUGUGUUAUAGAGUUCUAAUGGUAAUAUUUAUUGAAAUAUUUAUCGUGUGAUUCAGCUUGUUCAUUGACACUAAUAAGUGGAAAAUAGCCAAGGACUAUGUUUUGUAUAUGUUUAGUCAAUGUCUGUGAAUGGGUGAAUAUUUACACGUGUGUUUAUGACGAAGUGUAAAAAACUAUAUAUGGGAGUUUAUUGACCACAGGGCACUCUAUUUCGUACGAAAAGAUCAACUAAUGAAGCAGUUUGACUGGAAAGGAUGCUUCUCGUCUAGCCGCAGUAGUAGAUUUAAAAAUAUUCGACAAAGCUUUGCGUUGUGGCAUCUUUAUCUUCAAAGGAGCUGCGAUAAUUACGGAAACGUUCGUGAGGCUUAGGAGCUGCGUCACCAACGCAUGACACCAAUAUAGACUUUUGUAUAUGUGGUUUUGCUUACAAUAUUUUGCAGAUUUUUGAAAAUGAAUUUAUUGCUAUAUUAUUAAUUCUUUGUAUGAUAUAUAAACCAUGUACCUGAUCUAUGUAAAAAUAUUAAAAUAUAGACUGAAUCUUAAAACAUU
Long non-coding RNA from Ceratitis capitata (Mediterranean fruit fly), 1077 nucleotides. RefSeq lists it as uncharacterized. The record is from RefSeq and is a predicted model, not a curated record. The transcript is spliced from 3 exons. NCBI's taxonomy places the organism in Eukaryota, Metazoa, Arthropoda, Insecta, Diptera, Tephritidae.